Molecule: long non-coding RNA, 770 nt
Organism: Pecten maximus
Lineage: Eukaryota; Metazoa; Mollusca; Bivalvia; Pectinida; Pectinidae
Exons: 3
Source: RefSeq, a predicted model, not a curated record
CACCUCGGCCGAUUCUCUACGGUCAUCUAACCUCGGAUGUAUCACGGUAUUUGAUAUGUAUAAACGCCGUGCAUUUGUGAUGCGGUCGCCGUAUCACUCAUUAUGGAUGAGUCUCCGCUGUGCAUAUAGAUCUCCAAAAUGGCGUCAUUCGAACAGUGUUUAAGUAUUUUCUCGAUAAUUGUCCUUUAUUUAAAGAAAACAAUAUCACUUUGAAGGAGAAACAGAUUGAAACGUUGCGAGCAUUAUACGAAGAUCAUGACUGUGUAUCGGUACUACCCACAGGCUACGGCAAAAGUGUGAUAUUUCAGCUGUUACCGUGGUUUUGUCAGCUGAAAAUGGAGAAACGGAAACCAAUGAGCGUGAUAGUCGUGUCCCCGCUGAAUUCCCUAAUCCAGGACCAAGUCAUUACAAUGAGGAAGAAGGGAUUUACUGCUUGCAGUUUGAACUUCACUGGUACUCAUGGCUCAACUUAUACAGAUGCGAUUGCGAGAACGAUGAGGAACAGGAUCAUGAAUAUGUUGAAAUUGAUGUUCCAUUUGAGCAACUGGAGAGAGGAGACUUUUGCAUAAUUUAUUGUCAUCCAGAGUCGACUUCUUAGGUCUCAACUGUACCAAGAGAUCAUUUGUGCAGUAGUCAUAGAUGAAGUCCAUAAGGUUUCAGAAUGGGGAGAAGAAUUCCGUCCUGCAUUCCAGAAGCUUGGGGAGUUAAUGUUCAUUCUAGAGAAAGCUUUGCAUUUAAUUCUCACAGCAACUGCUACACCGAAAUCAAUU